Molecule: long non-coding RNA, 6277 nt
Filed under: Sus scrofa (pig)
Lineage: Eukaryota; Metazoa; Chordata; Mammalia; Artiodactyla; Suidae
Description: lncRNA (ENSSSCG00015045115.1)
Source: RNAcentral
CCCAUGAGAAGGUACCCAGCCUGUGCAGGACAUAACUCAUUUUCCCUGAAUGUAUGCACCAGCGUCCAUGGUUGUGAAUUUCCUAUUUCAGAAUCAAGAAUGACCAAAACAUUUGCUUAUUAUCAUUCAAAGAACAAAACCCUGCCAGUGUUUACAGGACUCAGUAUUACCCCAUUGCUUUAUUAGAACAAGCCAACUACUUCCUUUGCUUGGGAUCCUUCUCCCAGUGUGGUCCUGCGUCUCACCCAGAACUGUGGUUUUACCAACCACAGAUUGUCCCCCCAACACAUUUAAGAAUUCGUUCAAAUCCUAUAUUUAUGUCUACGGUUUACUAGAGGGGGAUGUGCAGAGCCCAUAUGAAAGAUCAAAAUUGCUUACCACAAGCAGUGAAUAUAGCACAUCCUGUUCAAAUAACAAGUUAGAUUACUUGCUGUUAUCUCUAAUGGCUUUUGGAAAAUUUGGAAAACAACCACGCAGUGAGCAGAGCACACUACAGCACAGGACUUUGAGCCCCCGCAUCUCUGUGACUUUGGUCAAGUGGUUAUACCCCUCAGUCUCCUCUUCUCUCAAUUGGGAUAGGACCCAACUCACAGGAUGUCUGUGAAGAUUAAAGUGAGGUUGUGUGAGAGCUCCCUGUACAUUGUGUUGUUCUUGCCAUCCCCAUUAAUCACAUCUGGCUGGUUUCCAGAGAUUGCUGAGGAAAUGGCACUUUGCUGCUGCUUCACACCCCAGAAGGCAGCUGGGAAUGUGAAACAGCUCUGUGGGAAAACCACCUCCUCUGAUGCUCUAGACCUGAGCUGUCUCCUACAGUAACCCCCUAGCCACUUGUGGCUAUGAAAAAAUUAAAUUUAAAAUACACUUCCUCUGUCAUACUAGUCAUUUUUCAAUGGCUCACAGCUACUUGUGGCUGGUGGCUACCAUAUUGUUGUGUGCAAAUAUAGAACAUGUCCAUCAUCCAGAAAGGUCUAUUGAACAGCAGUCCAAAAUCCCCCCAUCUCUUUGAAGCAUUCCAGGAAUCCCUAAAGUAAGAAUACCACAGAGCCCACAGAGCAUAUAUUUUAAGCUAGAUCACCCCAAAUACACCCUUCAGAUUUACUAUUAAUAAAAGGACAUAGAAAUGGAUGUUGUUGCUAUAAAAUAGUUAUUAGAAUCACAGAGACUAUUGACCUGGGAGGUAUACAUUAAUUAUGCUGUAUGUGCCGUUUCUGGGACAAUCCUCAGGAAUUUGUCAUGGGGAGUUAAUAAAGAAAAUUAUUAGGUUUAAAGCAGAGAUCCUCCAAAAACCAAGAUGUAACUUUUGGGGGAGUUUUUAAAAGAAAAAAAACACAACAGAAGACAAGUCAACUAACAUCCUGGAAGCUGACAUGGAGGAGAAAGUAAUUGGCCAGCUCUUAGAGAAGCUAUCAGCACAUAACGGCUUUGCUCCCAUCUGUCUGCAUAACUCUAGGACCCCAAGAGGAACUGGGCAAUUACCAUGUGUCACCACAGAGCCUCCUUGAGGAGAGGAGGGCAGGCAUCAUGUCAGAUACAAUAAUCAGCAUUAUUUUCCCCGGUAAAUUGUGUUAGAAAUGUCUCCCUGGUGAGUGUGCUUCCCUCCUCUGCUGGAAUUUCCUUCUGCAGGGAGGUUUGGAUGAGGACUGGGCCAAACCCACCAUGGUUCAGUGCAGUUUCCCACUGGAAAGGUCCCAGGGGCAGAAAAAUGGGUCCAGUUGGAGUUUGUUGUUUUUAAAUAUAUAAUAGUUAUUACGUUAUUGUUCUUGCUUGUACUAGAUAUAGAUGGUACUGAAGAAAAAUGGAAGUAGGCAGUCUUCUAUGAUGUAACAAUGUUACAAAAAUCAACUCAGGCCCCUGUGAUAAGCUUUGGCUCAGAGUAUGGCAUGUGCCUAAACACUUGUGGAAAUGUUUGCUUGAAUAACAAACAGUGUACAUAUUACUAGUAAUCAGCAUUAAUACUUAGCACUUUUCAUUAAUAGUAGUAAUAGUAAUGCUAUUAAAUAUCAGUUAAAACAUUAUUAGUAUUUUUAAAAAAAUCAUUCCAGCAAAUAUUUAUUUUAUACCAACUUGGUUUCAAACUCUAUUCUAAGCCCUCGGGCAAAUCUCAGGAAACUUAGCUUUGAGUGAGGGGAGACUGCCUAGUAUGAUAAUUACAGGCAGUGAUAUAGGCUUGGAAGAGUGAGUGAGGGGAGGGAGGGAGACAUCGCAGGCUACUUCCUCAAGGUGCCUGGGGAACGACCUUCUGAGGAAGGGAUAGGUGUUCUGACCCCUCUGUAAUGAGAAGGAGCCAUGACAUGCUCUGAAGUUACAGCAAUUAGAAUGCAUUGGACAACAAGAAGCAAAAAACUUUGAUUUGAAUCACUAAAACAAUAAGAACAUGUCUUGUUUCAUAUAACAAGAAGUCCUGGGGUAGGAAAGAUGUAGGCCUGGCUAACUCAGGGCUCAGCUAUAACACAAGGACCCAGGUUCUUCCAUCUGCAAGUCUUGACUUGCUCUUCAGACUAUCUCCUCUCAUGGCUGCCUCAGUUCCCAGCACCACAUCUGAAACAACAUCCAGAGGAAGAAGUGAGCAUUUCCAGAAAUGGCCCCAGCGGACUUCUUCUUGCAUCUCAUUGGUCAGAACUGGACCAGAUGCUCACCCUUAAAAUCAUCCACCAGAAAGGGAACAGCAUCACCAUGCUUGGUGAACUUUCUCAGUAAAGAGUUAGGAAAUAUUUUAGGCUCUUGUGGUUCAAGAGGUAAAACUGGGGAUAUUAUGUAGGUACUUAUAUAACAAGAUAAAAGAAAUUUCCACAAAAUUAUUAUCGAUUGAAUAAAUUAAAAUAAUGGAAAAAAUAAAAAUCAUUAUAAAUGAAAACAAAUAAAAAUAAAAAUAAAAAAAUGCAAAAUGGAAUAAUAAUAAUUAAAUCUAUUUUUAAAAUAUAGGUCUAAUGAGAAGAAUGGACUUUUUCGGGAGGGGGGAUACCAUUUUGAUUAUUUGUGGGCCAAGGGUAGUGUUCCCUAUUGCCAAAAUAAAACUGCAAAUAUUCAUCUGUGAGUGCUGAUGGGAGAGUUUACAUAUUUCAUCUUUGAAGAUGUCUUUACCUGGAUAGCUGAUACAUGUGGCCUUAAACGGCUUUCAAGUCGUAAUUCUGUCACUGCGAUUUGUGGUGUGCCACUACUCAAUUUUGCUGUUGUUGUCUGAAAGCAGCUCCACACAGAAAGUAAAGAAAUGGACUUAACUGUGUUCCAAAAAAACUUGACUUAUAGUCACUCAAAUUUGUACUUUUCAUAUGUAAUCAAGUAUCAUUCUUAUAUUGUUUUCAAUUAUUUAAAAGUGUAAAAACAAUUCUCAGCUUGUGGGCUGUGGGCUGUGCAAAAACAAUGUGGCCCACAGCUGUGGUUUUCUGACUCCUGCUCUAGACUAAUGAGGAUUUCCUGUGAGGAAGGAAGUCAUGAGGGGAAGGGAGUCACCUUGCAGGGAUCAAGAUGGAAACCACACUUCAGGAGAGAACUUUCCAGGCUAAGGGAACAGUACAUGCAAAGAUACAGUGGCAGCAAAAGCCCUGUGUAUAUGUUCCUCACCCAGGAGCAGAGAGGAAGAGGGGAAGAGGGGCCCAAGAUGAAGAUGAGAUAGUUAGGCAACUUCCAGAGUGGUGCAGACAAGUCUCACGGACCCUCUCCGCAGCAAAACAACUAUAAGUGGUGAGAAUUUUUAAAAAAAUCUAAAUUACCUAAAAACUCCAUGAUUGUACCAACGUCACACAGCAAGUAAAGAAAUGUUCAUUCAAGACAACCCAUUAAACCUUGGUAAGAGCUGUGAGUCUGCAGCACCUGCUGAGCCACAAGAGGAACUCCACAAACAUUUUUUAUUUUAACGAAACCCAAAUUAUUUUUACAUAUGCAUUUUGGAAGUUGCAGAGAAAAAGAGAGAGGAAAAAGAGGCAGAAGUAAUAUAUGAAAUAAUAAUGGCUGAAAAUUUCCCCAAACUGAGGAAAAGGUUAAACAUUGAAUUGUCAUAUGAUGAAGCAAAUCUACUCUUAGAGUCAUAUCUAAGAGAAAUGAAAACACAUGUCUGCACAUAACCUUAUUCACAGAUAUUCACAGAAGUAUUAUUCAUAAUGCCAAAUAUAGAAACAAUCCAAAUGUCAUCAACUGAUGAGUAAUAAACAAGAUAUAGUAUGUUCCUACAAUGGAAUACUAUUAAGCCAUGAAGAAAAAAAUGCAAUAUUGAUAUUUACUACAAUCUUGGUGAAAUAUUUUUUAACUCAAUGAAUUUUAUUAUAAUUGUACAAUGAUAAUCACAACCAAAUUUUACAGAAUUUCCAUCCCAAAUCCCCAGCACAUCCUCCCCACUCCAACCUGUCUCCUUUGGAAACCAUAAGUUUUUCAAAGUCUGUGAGUCAGUAUCUGUUCUGCAAAGAAGUUCAUUGUAUCCUUUUUUUAGAUUCCACAUAUAAGUGAUAGCAUGUGAUGUUGGUGUCUCACUGUCUAACUUCACUUAGCAUGAUAAUUUCUAUAUCCACCCAUGUUGCUGCAAAUGCCAUUAUUUCUUUCCUUUUUAUGACUGAGUAAUAUUCCAUUGUGUAUAUGUACCACAUCUUCUUUAGCCACUCCUCUGUCGAUGGACAUUUAGGUUGCGUCCAUGUCUUGGCUAUUGCAUAUAGUGCUGCAAUGAACACUGGAGUACAUAUAUCUUUUCCAGUCAUGGUUUUCUCUGGAGAGAUGCCCAGGAAUGGGAUUGCUGGAUCAAAUUAUAAUUCUAUUUUUAGUUUUUUGAGGAAUCUCCAUACUGUUUUCCAUAUGGCUGCACCAAUUUAUAUUCCCACCAACAGUGUAAAAGGGUUCCCUUUUCUCCUCACCCUCUCCAGAAUUUAUUGUUUAUAGACUUUUUGAUUAUGACCACUCUGGCUGGUGUAAGGUGGUACCUCAUAGUAGUUUUGAUUUUCAUUUCUGUAAUAAUUAGGGACGUUGAACAACUUUUCAUGUGUUUUUCGGCCAUCUGUUUUGGAGAAUUGUCUGUUUAGAUUUUCUGCCCAUUUUUUGAUAGGGUUGUUCGUAUUUUUUUGGUAUUGAGCUGCAGGUGGUGUUUAUAAAUUUUGGAGAUUAAUUCCUUGUCAGUCACUUCAUUUGCAAAUAUUUCCUCCCAUUCUGUGGAUUGUCUUUUCACUUUGUUGAGGGUUUACUUUGCUGUGCAAAAACUUUUCAGUUUAAUUAGGUCCAAUUUGUUUAAUUUUGUUUUAAUUGCCAUUAUUCUAGGAGAUGGAUUUGAGAAGAUACUGAUGUGGUUUAUGUCAGAGUGUUCAGCUUAUGUUUUCUUCUAAGUGUUUUAUAGUAUCUGGUCUUAUAUUUAGGUCUCUAAUCCAUUUUGAGUUUAUUUUUUUGUAUGGUAUUAGGAAGUGUUCUAAUUUCAUUCUUUUACAUGUAGCUGUCCAGUUUUCCCAGCACCACUUAUUGAAGGGACUGUCUUUUCUCCAUUGUAUAUUAUUACCUCCUUUGUCAUAGGUUAGUAGACUGUAGGUGUGUGGGUUUAAUUCUGGGCUUUCUGCCCUGUUCCACUGCUCUAUAUUUCUGUUUUCUGUUUUUGUGCCAGUAUCAUAUGGUUUUGAUGACUGUAGCUUUGCAGUAUAGUCUGAAGUCAGGGAGCCUGAUUCCUCCAGCUCUAUUUUUCUUUCUAAGGUUGGCUUUGACUAUUAUGGGUCUUUUGUGCUUCCAAACAAACUUUAAAAUAUUUUGUUCUAGUUCUGUGAAAAAUGUCCUUGGUAAUUUGAUAGGGAUUGCAUUGAAUCUAUAGAUUGCCCUGGGUAUUAUCAUCAUUUGGAUAAUAUUCAUUCUUCCAAUCCAAGAGCAUGGUAUGUCUUUCCAUCUGUUUGUGUUAUCUUUGAUUUCUUUCAUCAGUGUCUUAUAGGUUUUGGAGUACACAUCUCUUGUCUCUUUAGGUAGGUUUAUUCCUAAGCAUUUUAUUCUUUUUGAUGUGAUGGUAAAUGGGAUUAUUUCCCUAAUUUCUCUUUCUGAAAUUUGUUGUUAGCAUAUAAAAAUGCAGUGACAGAGUUCCUGUCAUGUCUUAAUAGUUAAUGAAUCCGACUUGCAUCCAUGAGGAUGAGGGUUUGAACCCUGGCCUCGCUCAGUGGGUUAAGGAUCCAGCCAUGGCUGCGAGCUGUGACGUCAGUAGCAGACAUUGGUUGGACCCCACAUUGCUGUGGCUGUGGAGUAGGCCAGAAGCUGCAGCUGCAAUUUGACCCCUAGCUUGGGAACCUCCAUAUGCUGCAUGUGGGAUGUGGCCCUAAAAAUACCAAAAAAAAAA